This 253-nucleotide ribosomal RNA is filed under the name uncultured bacterium. RNAcentral's name for it is "partial 16S ribosomal RNA". It matches the Rfam family "Bacterial small subunit ribosomal RNA", at positions 524 to 776 of the family's 1533-position model. The record is from RNAcentral.
UACGUAGGGGCCGAGCGUUGUCCGGAGUUACUGGGCGUAAAGCGCGCGCAGGUGGCUGCGCAAGCCUGGCGUGAAAGCCCCCGGCUCAACCGGGGAGGGUCGUCGGGGACUGCGUGGCUUGAGGGCAGGAGGGGCUGGUGGAAUUCCCGGUGUAGUGGUGAAAUGCGUAGAGAUCGGGAGGAACACCCGUGGCGAAGGCGGCCAGCUGGACUGACCCUGACACUGAGGCGCGAAGGCGUGGGGAGCGAACGGG